UUGCUGGCGGGAUCAGUGGGCCACCACCGGCUGUUAACCGGUUGGUCGCUGGUUCGAAUCCGGCCCGGGGAGCCA
RNAcentral lists this transfer RNA (75 nucleotides) under Alphaproteobacteria bacterium 13_2_20CM_2_64_7. RNAcentral describes it as "tRNA-Asn". The record is from RNAcentral. Lineage: Bacteria; Pseudomonadati; Pseudomonadota; Alphaproteobacteria.